AUGGAAAAUGCGUAUUCGUGUGAGCGGCGUACGCGGGGGAGGUAUACACGUUGGCAGUUUCGUAUGUCUGACGCCGGUCAGGCUCGCUGGCAGGUGAAGGGCGUGACGGAACCAGGACGGUCUAGGAUUGUUACAAAAGCUGGACCAUGGUCCAGGAUUUUUUUGCGUACGAGGAGAGCCUCUGGGCAGGGCGCUCGCGUGUCUUGGGGCUUUGCUGCCGACAAAAGAAAAGAGGUAAAAAUCACAAAAGAGAAAGGAGGUGUGGGGCAGGGUAUGGAUCAGGAGAGGCGAUGGAGAGCGAGGCAAUGGGUUAGGCGGCAGCAGCGGCCGCCAUGGGAGCCGCCGGAGAUUUCCCCCUGGAUCCAGUGCGCAGGUUCGUUUCACACAUACUCCCCUGUCCCCCCUCCGCCCCUCGCCAAUGAGGAGAUCUGUCACUUGUGGCAAACCUGGUGGCGAGGGGAGCAGAGACGGCGCUCCUGCCGAGUCUGGCGAGGCGGCAAGUCGGCGGUGAAGCACGAUCCCAAGGGGCUGGGCUGGAUUAGAAGGGAUGCAUGUCAUAGAUUGCUUGAUCUCCCUGUUGAUGGAUGCAUGAAAACCAGGACGAGGUGGGUGAGAUCGAGGGCUGGGGGCGCUGCACUGCGAGAUUCGUCGGUGGUUGCUCACGACAGUUGCGGCAACCCUGGGGGUGAGAACAGUACAGACAGCGGUCCUACGGAGUCCGGGGAGUCCGCGGUCAAGCCAGAUCAAAUUUACAUUUUUUUUGGCAUGUGGCUGGUGAUUGUUCUUGUGGCGGCGGUGGCCUGCGACAAAAAAAUAUUGGUUGAUGGGCAACUUAGGAAGAAGACCAUAAACUUAGCCAAAGUGUACAUCAUCGUUGGUGGUUUCUUUGGGACAGUGGAGAAUGUGCCAUUCACAAAAAGGUCGCUACGACAAGAUGACUAUGUGAAGAAGAUAAUAUAG
RNAcentral lists this ribosomal RNA (960 nucleotides) under Triticum aestivum (bread wheat). Its description in RNAcentral is "partial small subunit ribosomal RNA". Lineage: Eukaryota; Viridiplantae; Streptophyta; Magnoliopsida; Poales; Poaceae. The record is from RNAcentral.